Lemur catta (Ring-tailed lemur) is the source of this 1537-nucleotide long non-coding RNA. RefSeq lists it as uncharacterized. The record is from RefSeq and is a predicted model, not a curated record. The transcript has 2 exons. Lineage: Eukaryota; Metazoa; Chordata; Mammalia; Primates; Lemuridae.
CGGUGGGACCCGGCAGGGCGCGGGCGCCCACUUUCCCGCCCUCUGAGCCGUCCCGGGGGGCGGGUGGGAGGAAAGGGCGAAAGAGGGGCGCCCUGGGGCACUCGCGCCGAUCCUCUUGGGGCCGGACGGCCGGGAGUGCUGGCCCCGCGCACACUCUGAGCGCCCCGGGGUGCCUGGGGUGCGCGAGCCGCAGGCGGAGAGUGGGCUCUGGGGCCCUGCCCACUGGGACCGUCCGCCCCGGAGGUCUUCACCCAGCGCCCUGGGCUGACUUACUGGGUGUCUCCCCCCACCAGAAACUCAGCUCUCCAAGAUGGGACAGAGUCCAGCUCCGGCCCUUGACCCUGACCCCCCCACCCAGUGUGGUGCCCGCUCAGAGAGGGCACAGUGUGAUUCGCAGAAACAGCAAAUGAAGAGGGUCCCACCGGUGCUGCACCGUGAGGCACGGGAGGCACGGGGCCAGGGAGCUUCCUGGGGAGCCUCGGGGUAAGGCACCAAGGGGCAGAGGGCCAGAAGGGGGCGGCUGCCUCUUUGGGGACGCCUGGCAAGGACUUUCCGCGGAGGAGUGCCUGAACCACGCACGCCGAUAGUGUCUGCACUCCGGCCUCCCGCUCUGUGGGUGCGUCGUGAGAGGAGAAAGGACACACCGGGUCCGUUUCUCACACCGCACAGAAGAGAUUUCAAACGGAUCGGAGGCUUAAAUGCAAACGUUGAAAUGAAGUUGUGCAGAUUCUGUGGGAAAAUAGGGAUGAAUCCCCCAGUAACCUGGGAGUUGGGAAACAUCUCCAAUUAUGACCUGGAUUUCAAAAGCAAAAGAUAAGAAAAAUAAAAACCAAAACCACCAUUAGCAAAGUAAAAGAAACAAAUGACAAAUUGGGGAAAGUAUUUGCAUUCUAUCACAGGCAAAGGAUCCAUGUCACCACCAUAUAAAGAACUCACAAAACUGGGAAGAAGAAACUGCCACAUCCUAUGGAAAACUGGGCAAAAGCUGCGAACAGUUCACAGGAAAUAGGGUUCGUGACCUUUGUGCUUAUGAAAAAAUGCCCAGCCUUGCCCAGAACAAGGAAAAUGCAAAUCAAAAGUACACCCUGAUGCCGCUGCCCACAUAUCUGAUUGGCAGAGCUCCAAGCCUUUGAGGCCGCCCUCCAGGAGGGAGGACAGGGCGGCAGGUGCGCGGCUCCGCGGCAGGGAGACGCUGGCAGUAUUAGCAAAAGCACAGGUAGCAUCUGACCGGGAAGCCCCACUCCUAGGAACCAGCCCAAAGAUAUGUGGGAAAACCAGGAAAGCAUUUUCAUGCAUAUACACAUUGCUAUUCAUCGCGCACGCUCUGUGUUAGCAAAACCGUCGCGGUAUCCUUCAGUGGGUUCGAUUCCGCUAUGCCACAGCCGCACGAUGAAGCGUCAUGAUCAACGUUAUCGCUGAUACCCAAGGAACAAACGGAACUCAAAGAACUGUAUUGUUAGUAAUAUUGGCAUUCUUAUUUUGAAAUUAUAUAUGUAUAUAUAUAUCAAAUAAAGAAUUAUGUUAUAUUCCUUUGGAA